Long non-coding RNA from Acanthopagrus latus (yellowfin seabream), 2897 nucleotides. RefSeq lists it as uncharacterized. NCBI's taxonomy places the organism in Eukaryota, Metazoa, Chordata, Actinopteri, Spariformes, Sparidae. The transcript has 3 exons. The record is from RefSeq and is a predicted model, not a curated record.
UUUAAAAAUGUACCACUUCACAUUUUUGAUUAACUUUUAAUAUAAAGGUAAUGGCUAUCUAAUAUAUUAGCAAGCUAACAGGAGCCUUGUCAUUUUAAGUGAGCUACACCUGGAAGUUGUUGGGCUUCAAUAUUUAGUGAAAGUCAGACAAAACAUUCACAGCAGCAACCUGAGUCUUCCCAGUGUUUCUACUUUAAUCCCAUCGAGGAGGACUGCUGCCCUAUGCUUUGAGAAACUGGAGGCUGAUCCAGGAUCAGAGUGACAGGAGGAAGAUCAUUUACUGAGCGCCGGAGCCGGCUGAUGGGAGACAGAGGAGAGGCUCGGGGGCCUGAGCUGCUCUGUAUCCGCACUGAUGCCAAGUGGUCGGCGGUUUGAAGAGGACACCUGAGACCAGCGCACCUGGACAAUGAGCUGAGGUGUAACCCUAAACUGAGAUGAACCGCUGUUUAUCCCCCACGCUCUCCUUCUCUCGCUCUUUCCCAUCAGUCUCCUGUCUGGUCCCCAAGCUUUAUUUUCUCUCUACGACCUGAUCUAUAUUGCUCUUCUAUUGUUAACUAAGUACAUUUAUUUAAGUACUGUACUUUAAUACAAGUUUGAGGUACUUGUACUGGAGUAUUUCCAUUUAAUGCCACAUAUUGGAGGGAAAUAUUCAUUUACUCCUAUUGCCUUACAAUUCAAAAUUAUCAAUACAGAUAUAAAUCAACUAAUACGUCAUGAUUUAUUAUUGUAGGUAAAACUAUCUUGCAGUUUAGAAAGUAAAAUGACCCAGUUACAUGUCAAUUAACUCUCUAUGUGACUGUUGCUACUACUGUGCUGCAACUCUGUUGUUGGCCCUGCUGCUGCACGGACACCAGCCACAGUUUACUUGUAGCAUCUAUUUAUCAUAAUGGUGGUGAGACUGGUGGGCAGGUAAAGUAAUCGAUGUUCACCUGACCACCGUGUAACACCAGGAACACCGAUUACAGCUGUGAAGUUAACUUUGAUUUCCGGGAGUCGCUUGUUAGAGGUAACGUUAGCCGGCCUGUCCUGGCUAGCUUGACUUUUAGCUCAUCAUUCUUAUUACCAUCAGAAGCUCUCAGUGUCAAAACGUAGACUAGUAAUGUUACCCAACUCUUUGAAUCCCUCGACCUAUACCGAACUGAUUAGAAGCCUGUACUUCCGCCCCUUGUCUAUCGGAAAUGUGAUCACUGACUGCGAGCCUUCCUCAGACAGGCUAACAAUGUUUCAUUGAGGUACAUCAUCACAUAUUUUCUUUACAUUUUGCCUUAUUGCUUCUCUGGAGGAAUGUUCCCACACUGAGCUUCUUUUAGCGUGCUCACUUUUGUAGCUGAGGAGACACCGUUAACAGUGUCUGUAUGCAAUUUAAGCUAUAGACCAACAUGCGUAACCAGUCAAAAAUAUUCCUGGCGAUUAACUGAUACAUGGUUUAACAGUUGGUUGACAUCCCGAGUUGUAGUGUUACAUAUUCUGCUGUAUCUUUCAGUAAAACAUCUGACUACUUCUUCCACCACUGUACUCUCCGCUCUCUCAGUAUCUCUCCAUGCUUCUCCAGGCCUAAUUCAAACAUCUCUCAGUAUGGGUGUGACGUCACCGUCUAAUCACAUACUUAACGAUUAGUGCCCACACAUUUUCAGCAAGAUCAUCAUUCAAGGGGAAAACAACAGGGCCCCAGACAUUCCUGCAUUUCUUCAGUUGCUAUUUUCACACAGACAAUGCUCUAAAUUUGGGGACUGACAUUUUGUUCUGCAGCUGACAGCGGCUAGCAGCUGUAUGACUCAGUGACACAGAAGCAGUGCCCAUGUCACCAUGGAAAAGGCAGCGUUGUGGUGUUGUUGCCAAGGCUCUGCUGUCCAAUACGCAUCUGAUCCGCCAUCGUUACGGCUGGAGCCGCGCGGGAAGGAGGGAGAGAUGGGAAACGGCCAAGCAUGUUUCCGAACAAGGCGGAAAAGUGAGCGACUCAAGAAGUCAGGGAUUCGAGAUUAGGAGACAUUUCGGCAGAUCAGGAGCGAGUGUGUUCGAGCAACGCUUACUUCUGCUCUGUCUCCCUCGUAAAAAGGCCUUUACUCAGCAUCCUGCACACUCCACCCAUAUUUAUACACUCCCUCCCCCAUCACUCAUGUCACUUGAGAUAAACACAUACAGUCUGACCUGCACGUCUACGCACACUCAGAUGCACUUAGAUGGUCGCUGUGUGUUAUUUCUUUGAUGCACCAACAACUGCAACUGCGUCUUUAAACAGCAAGUAGCACAAAGGACCAAAAAUAGCACAGUGAGUUGCAGAGCAGAACUGCUCUCCUUGAGGAGGGGAGGAGAGAGGAGGAGGAUGGAGAGCAGGAGGAGGUGCAGAGAGAGAUGACAGGGAAAAGAUGGGAGAAGGAGACCGGCUCUCCAGGACUCAGGCCUCCCCGCUGGGUCCAAUUUAAGUUUCUCUCCCCGUGUCAGCUCGAAUCGGUAUUCAAUGACAACACUUGUAAUCACAUUUCUGUAACGUCAUGAACUGAUUAGGAGCAGACUGAAUGUUUGUAGCCGUCCACUUAUUUGUUGCAGUGGAUAUCACACAAGCUAAUAGAGGGAGUAGUAGACGAGGCCAUACACAGAUGUAAAUCGCAAACAUGUCAAUAUCAGAAAAGGGGGCAAUUCACUAUUAGAGCAACAUUUCACAAAUAUGUUUUGCACUUUUUUGUCACUAGCAUUAACGUCUUACUCUUAUUUAAGUCGGCUGUUCUGUUCUUCCGUACUUUAAAAAUAACUAAUAUGUCAAAUAUUUUCCCAUAUUAAAGGAUUAAAUUAUACAUGUUGAGUUAUAUGGGAAGAUUGUUGCUGCUAUUGUGUAUGCACAACAAUAAAUUAAGCUUCAGCCGCAAUGAAUAUUCUAUCAAUCAAUUAGUCAAUUGAAG